GCUGGGCGUAGUAGCGCAUACCUGUAAUCCCAGUGGCUUGGGAGGCUGAGGCAGGAGGAUCAUGAGUUCAAAGCCAGCUUCAGCAGAAGCAGGGCUAAGCAACUCAGUGAGACCCUGUCUGUA
Molecule: small RNA, 123 nt
Filed under: Marmota monax (woodchuck)
Lineage: Eukaryota; Metazoa; Chordata; Mammalia; Rodentia; Sciuridae
Source: RNAcentral